GACGAACGCUGGCGGCGUGCCUAACACAUGCAAGUCGAACGGAAAGGCCCUGCUUUUGUGGGGUGCUCGAGUGGCGAACGGGUGAGUAACACGUGAGUAACCUGUCCUUGACUUUGGGAUAACUUCAGGAAACUGGGGCUCAUACCGGAUAGGAUCUCUUGCUGCAUGGUGGGCGUUGGAAAGUUUCGGCGGUUGGGGAUGGAAUAGCGGCUUAUCAGCUUGUUGGUGGGGUAGUGGCUUACCAAGGCUUUGACGGGUAGCCGGCCUGGGAGGGUGACCGGCCACAUUGGGACUGAGAGACGGCCCAGACUCGUACGGGAGGCAGCGGUGGGGAGUAUUACACAAUGGGCGGAAGCCUGAUGCGGCAACGCCGCGUGCGGGAUGACGGCCUUCGGGUUGUAAACCGCUUUCGCCUGUGACGAAGCGUGAGUGACGGUAAUGGGUAAAGAAGCACCGGCUAACUACGUG
This 468-nucleotide ribosomal RNA is filed under the name uncultured bacterium. Its description in RNAcentral is "partial 16S ribosomal RNA". It matches the Rfam family "Bacterial small subunit ribosomal RNA", at positions 28 to 507 of the family's 1533-position model. The record is from RNAcentral.